GAUGAAGAACGGAGCGAAAUGCGAUAAGUAAUGUGAAUUGCAGAAUUCAGUGAACCAUCGAAUCUUUGAACGCACAUUGCGCCCGCCAGUAUUCUGGCGGGCAUGCCUGUUCGAGCGUCAUUACAACCCUCAGGCCCCCGGGCCUGGCGUUGGGGAUCGGCGGAGCCCCCCGUGGGCACACGCCGUCCCCCAAAUGCAGUGGCGGUCCCGCCGCAGCUUCCAUCGCGUAGUAGCUAACACCUCGCGACUGGAGAGCGGCGCGGCCACGCCGUAAAACACCCAACUCUUCUGAAGUUGACCUCGAAUCAGGUAGGAAUACCCGCUGAACUUAAGCAUAUCAAUAAGCGGAGGA
This 352-nucleotide unclassified non-coding RNA is filed under the name soil metagenome. RNAcentral's name for it is "partial contains 5.8S ribosomal RNA, internal transcribed spacer 2, and large subunit ribosomal RNA". The stretch from base 1 to 120 matches the Rfam family "5.8S ribosomal RNA", at positions 35 to 154 of the family's 154-position model. The record is from RNAcentral.